This 170-nucleotide unclassified non-coding RNA is filed under the name Klebsiella variicola. RNAcentral's name for it is "RtT". The stretch from base 39 to 170 matches the Rfam family "RtT RNA". Rfam says of the family: This family represents a bacterial cis-regulatory element known as RtT RNA. The exact function of RtT is unknown although it is thought that it may be involved in changing the cellular response in relation to amino acid starvation. The record is from RNAcentral. Lineage: Bacteria; Pseudomonadati; Pseudomonadota; Gammaproteobacteria; Enterobacterales; Enterobacteriaceae.
UAAAAAACACCGCAAUCCAAUUACUCUACGAUAUUCUAGAUUCUGCCCUACGGGGAAGGAUGAGAAGCUUCGACCAAGGUUCGACUCGAGCGUAGCGAGAGAACGUUGCCGCAGGCAACGGCCCGAAGGGCGAGGAGCGAUAGCGACGAGUUAUCCUUCCCCCACCACCA